RNAcentral lists this ribosomal RNA (705 nucleotides) under Triticum aestivum (bread wheat). RNAcentral's name for it is "partial small subunit ribosomal RNA". The record is from RNAcentral. Lineage: Eukaryota; Viridiplantae; Streptophyta; Magnoliopsida; Poales; Poaceae.
UCUCAAACAUGUGCAGAGGGGAAUAGCAGGUUAUGCAUCUCUGUGGGAGACUACUACUGUUAUAUGCUGCAAACACGGCAUGCGAUCUUCAAUCCAAUACUCUGUGGAGCACGCCUACUGCAGCAAUGGGCGGUUGACAUGUACAUCAUGAUUGAGAGCUGUCGGUUGAGGUGGUAUAGGAAGAACCAGACGCAGAUCCGUGCCGAUUUGUACCAAGGAGUUGUUGAUGCGAUCACAUCGGGAGAGACGUGAGCAAGCGCUGUUGGUAAAAGAAUAGUGCUCCCUGGAACUUACCCUGGUGGCGACCGCGACAUGAAGAAGAGACAUAUGGACGCCAUGGCAAUUGUCCAUACAUACGGGAAGCCUGACAUCUUCUUGACCAUGACUUGCAACCCUAAAUGGGAAGAGAUAACAAAUGAGUUGCUUCCUGGACAGACAGCGCAAGACCGACCUAAUAUUGUGGCUCGCGUGUUCUAUGGAAAACUAGAGGCUAUGAAAGAUAUGUUGCUCAAGAAGAUGGUCCUGGGUGUUGUUGUUGCUUAUGUGUACGUAGUCGAGUUCCAGAAGAGAGGCCUCCCCCACGCACAUUUUUUGUUGAUCAUGGAUUCAACAUAUAAGCUUCUUGUCCACAGCAGUAUGACCAACUCAUUUCCGCAGAGCUCCCAAACAGGCAGAAGUAUCCGGAAUUGUACGCAAUGGUGGUAA